AACGAACGCUGGCGGCAGGCCUAACACAUGCAAGUCGAACGAGCUGAGACCUUCGGGCCUCGAUGCUAGUGGCGCACGGGUGAGUAACGCGUGGGAACGUACCCUUUAGUAUGGAAUAACCCAGGGAAACUUGGGCUAAUACCGUAUACGCCCUUCGGGGGAAAGAUUUAUCGCUAAAGGAUCGGCCCGCGUCUGAUUAGGUAGUUGGUGAGGUAACGGCUCACCAAGCCGACGAUCAGUAGCUGGUCUGAGAGGAUGAUCAGCCACACUGGGACUGUGACACGGCCCAGACUCCUACGGUAGGCAGCAGUGGGGAAUAUUGGACAAUGGGCGACAGCCUGAUCCAGCCAUGCCGCGUGAGUGAAGAAGGCCUUCGGGUUGUAAAGCUCUUUCGACGGGGACGAUGAUGACGGUACCCGUAUAAGAAGCCCCGGCAAACUUCGUGCCAGCAGCCGCAGUAA
This 461-nucleotide ribosomal RNA is filed under the name uncultured bacterium. Its description in RNAcentral is "partial 16S ribosomal RNA". It matches the Rfam family "Bacterial small subunit ribosomal RNA", at positions 29 to 523 of the family's 1533-position model. The record is from RNAcentral.